CUUCCUUCUCAGGGGGAAGGUUCUCACACUCUUCCUCUGCUUUCACAUGGGCUCCUCCAUGGGCUGCGGGUGUGUCUCUGCUCUCCGAUGGACCUCUGGUGGCUGCAGCUGCCAAGCAUCUACGUGCUGCUGCAGAGACUGGCAUGGCCUGUUCCAUGUCAGGGGUAGAACUUCAGUCCAUGCUGACUUGACCCACAUGGAGACCAGGGCUGAUCGUCCUCUCAGGGUGAGACUGCAGAAUGUGGAUUUAAUUUCCAGCCACUCCUCCACCUCUGUCUUACUGCCUCUCCUGACAUCCUCUCCUUGGCAUUGCUUCUGACAACACCAAAGUAAUUUGCCAGCUGCA
Taeniopygia guttata (zebra finch) is the source of this 346-nucleotide non-coding RNA. The record is from RefSeq and is a predicted model, not a curated record. Lineage: Eukaryota; Metazoa; Chordata; Aves; Passeriformes; Estrildidae.